CCCUAGCCUUCCAAGCUA
This 18-nucleotide transfer RNA is filed under the name Tsuga chinensis. RNAcentral's name for it is "partial tRNA-Gly". The record is from RNAcentral. Lineage: Eukaryota; Viridiplantae; Streptophyta; Pinopsida; Pinales; Pinaceae.